AAAAGCGCCGGCUAACUACGUGCCAGCAGCCGCGGUAAUACGUAGGGCGCAAGCGUUAUCCGGAAUUAUUGGGCGUAAAGAGCUCGUAGGCGGUUUGUCGCGUCUGCUGUGAAAUCCGGAGGCUCAACCUCCGGCCUGCAGUGGGUACGGGCAGACUAGAGUGCGGUAGGGGAGAUUGGAAUUCCUGGUGUAGCGGUGGAAUGCGCAGAUAUCAGGAGGAACACCGAUGGCGAAGGCAGAUCUCUGGGCCGUAACUGACGCUGAGGAGCGAAAGGGUGGGGAGCAAACAGGCUUAGAUACCCUGGUAGUCCACCCCGUAAACGUUGGGAACUAGUUGUGGGGUCCAUUCCACGGAUUCCGUGACGCAGCUAACGCAUUAAGUUCCCCGCCUGGGGAGUACGGCCGCAAGGCUAAAACUCAAAGAAAUUGACGGAUCCUAC
RNAcentral lists this ribosomal RNA (440 nucleotides) under uncultured Microbacterium sp. RNAcentral describes it as "bacterial SSU rRNA". It matches the Rfam family "Bacterial small subunit ribosomal RNA", at positions 486 to 924 of the family's 1533-position model. Lineage: Bacteria; Bacillati; Actinomycetota; Actinomycetes; Micrococcales; Microbacteriaceae. The record is from RNAcentral.